This is a long non-coding RNA of Trifolium pratense (red clover), 852 nucleotides long. RefSeq lists it as uncharacterized. The record is from RefSeq and is a predicted model, not a curated record. The transcript is spliced from 2 exons. NCBI's taxonomy places the organism in Eukaryota, Viridiplantae, Streptophyta, Magnoliopsida, Fabales, Fabaceae.
AAAAAAUAUGUUGACUUACGACACAUGGAUUCCGGCAGUUUAGAAGAACCGUCGCCGCUAUGUUAAUAUUUGAAACCUUGCGGCCGUUCAAAAGCAACCGUCGAGAAGUCGACAAACCCGCGCUAUUUCACUUCUUCCCUCUUUUUUCAGAAUUUCUUCAAUCCCACAACCUUCGAGCGUCAAUCUCUAAAUCAGAUUCGUUUUCAAGCUUCUUCAAUCCCUAAACCCUAAAAAAAUCCUAAAUCUGUGAUUCUCAUAAGCUUCUCAUCGAUAUUCUUACUCAUAAGCUUCAAUCCUAAAUCUGUGAUUCUCACUCACAAGCUCCAAUCCCUAAAUCUCUCAAGCUACGUUCAGAUUCAACAUUCAGGCUUCGUUCGAAUCCCUAAAUCACUCAACCUCUCCAGCUUCGUUGAACCUCUCAAGCUUCGCUGAACCUUCAAUCUCCAUUCAACUUCGUUCAGCUUCGUUUAACAUUCAAAAUCAUAUUCAAUCUUCAAAAUCCAGAUUAUUUGAAUCCAUUUCAUGCAUAUGAUGAAGGGAAUCUUACAUGGCUGGUAAGUGAUCAUUCUGAAGCUUGCAAUACGUAGUAAUCAGUACUAGAAUGGCUAAUUACCUGCACACAAAUGUUGAAUCAGUGUUAGAUAUGUAUAAUGUAAGUAUCAAGGAGGCUGAUAUUCAUUAUAGUUUAUUUUGAAGAUUUUGAUGCUGAAAGAAGGUUAUCACAUGCAUUCAAAUUAAUAGUUAAAGUGUAGAUUUUAAUAAAUUUUGUGCUACUGUUUAGAGUACCUUUGUUCAUGUAUGAUUCAAAAGAAGAGAAGGUUUAUUUGAAGAGUUUUAUAAUUGUUCUGUGAA